Long non-coding RNA from Triticum dicoccoides, 2198 nucleotides. RefSeq lists it as uncharacterized. The transcript is spliced from 3 exons. The record is from RefSeq and is a predicted model, not a curated record. Lineage: Eukaryota; Viridiplantae; Streptophyta; Magnoliopsida; Poales; Poaceae.
UAGUUCUCCUCACAUCGUCACCUACCUUCCCCACCCUUAUCCAUUCACUAUCUCCCCACUACUCUCCAUGGCACAAGCCCAGAGCUCUCUACCUCCUCGGGCCGCCCCUCCUCUUCGUCCCCACCGCCGGCGCGAGGACUCGCACUCUCCCCACUCUUCUCAGCCCCUCCUCGUCGAAUCAGUCGCCGAAUUGCCCGAGGAUCCGCUCGAGCUCGGCAUGGUCGUUGGGUGCGGGGCGAAGGCCGACGCAGAGGCGCGGGACUCGUCUCCAUCAGAUCGGCGGGCGUGGAAAUCAUGCGUCGCAACCUCCGCGCCCGGUGCCUUCCUCUCCAUCUCGCCCGUCGGCGGCUCGCACAACCCUUUGCUGUGCCCUGCCCUGCCCAGAUACGGCAGCAGUGCCGCGGUGGCUGGUCCCCUCCAAGUGCAAGCCGGCGCCAUUAGAAAAUCCAUUCCCCACUUCAGCUUUCAUAUCUGCUUAUUUCUGAUUUGAGUUACUCCCCAUUACCCACUUCUGCUAAUCCCUAAUUGCUAUCCAUUCCUGUAUAGUACAUAUGUAGCUCAGUACUCUAGGUUUAAGCAUGAGAGUCAUUUUAGAAUAGGGGAGAAAAAUUAGAAGUUGGGGUGAUCCUAUUUUGGUCUGCCUAAUCUUGGAGUAAGUUGUUCGAUUAGACAUUCUUAACUUAGUUGCAGCAACUGUUAUGAGUGGGGAUUCUAGUUAGUUAAUAUUCUUCAGGCAACCAUGCUACGAUAAAGCUGAUUGAUUGGUGGAUUAGAAUUCUAGGUGGCUAGGGGGGAUAGGGACCAAGACAGAUGAGGUUGAUUUGGCUUGAUCCUGCCAAAGAAAUUUACUUCUAUUUUGAAAAAUGAACACAUGUUCUUAGAUGUGCAGGGUUAAGUUUACAAAUGCGAGGUUUAUAGAAAAUCAAAGGGGAUCAAGAGAAGCAUAGUACGAUAAUACAAUAGGAUAAGCAUGUAUGACUGUAGGAUAAUACAGUUUGAAGAAUGAUGAUGGUAUGGUUCUCAUAUAGAGGACGAUGGUUGGCUCAAAGAGUUUAUCACCUCAAAAAUUUCCUUUCUUGGAAUAACUUGCCUUAUUAGAAGUCCAUAAACAUCUCUGGCAUCUUCAGUACUACUUACGGCAGCUGCACAAGUGUUAUUCAUGAUAUAGCACAACCUUUUAGAUAUAUUUCUUGUUGUCCCGGACCCCCUGUUAAAACAGAAGUGCUUUUGCAGGCUUACAAGAAAUGUAUUUUGAAGACCAUCUAACUAUCUAAGAGUCAUGGAAUUCGUUCCAUCCUAUAUUUUUGGGACUCUGGAAUAAACACAAAGAUGGGAAUGGGGAUGCAUACCUGCCUGCCAUACACAUUGACAGGUUUUCAAUACUCAUCCCGAAGCUUUUAAGCGUUGUACAAAAGAAGUAAUUGACAGGUUUACUUCAUGAUAGUCUUGGGUUUGGUUUGGCCAAAAUGAUCAGGCAAGUGCGUUGCCUGAGGAGUUCGUCGGCGCCUACGUCGUCGGCCGCGGAAGGGGGCGAUGGCCAAAACUGGCUGGGCGGCGACGGCGCAACAGUGGCUUGCGGCGCCGAUGUCUCACUGCAGUGUGCGUUUGAAUAGCGACAUCGAAGAAAGACACUGAGAUUAACUGGGAUGGAACUGGCCACAUAUUGCGCACAAGAGGAUAGUCCGCACCUGCUUUCGCGAGAAGCUCUUCGGCGCGGUCGUCGUCCGCUGUGCAUGGCUGCGAUGGCGCAGGACAGCCUCUGCGGCUGCGACGUACUUCCGGGUGGGCAAGGGCAGGAAGAUCCAUCUGAUUCCCGUAAGUUUAGCCACUUGUUGUUAGGCGGACGUGUUUAAUUGCCGUUAAUUAUGGCUAAUUUUCCGUAGUUUAGCCAUUUUGUUGUUAGGACGUGAACAGAAUUGGUGGAACCGUUUCAAUCUUGUGCGAGCGUGGGUCCGGCACAGUUUUCGUCCGCCAAGUUCUCUUGUUUAAUAGUAGUGUAGAAAAGCUUCGGUUCGUGCCUUAAAUACACGCCAAAUCAUUAGAUGGAUCACAUGGCUGACAGUACAUAUAUACUAGCAAUGCCCGCGCGGCGACACGCCGCGCCCUGCCGAUACGUCAUGGUUGUAAAUGUCGUCCUUGUUACAUGCUAUAUAUUUUACUUUGAAGAGAAGUAUAUGAAUAAGAUUGUGAUCAUAAAA